GAUGAACGCUGGCGGCGUGCUUAACACAUGCAAGUCGAGCGAAAAGACGAGGAGCUUGCUCCUCUGACGUUAGCGGCGGACGGGAGAGUAACACGAGGAUAACCUACCUAUAAGACUGGGAUAACAUCGGGAAACCGGAGCCAAAAACGGAUAAUAUAUUGAACCGCAUGGUUCAAAAGCGUAAGCCGGUUUUGCUGGAACUUCUAGAUGGAUCCGGGCUGGUUUAGCUAGUUGGUAAGGUAACGGCUUCCGAAGGCCACGUUGGGUAGCCGACCCGAGGGGGUGUUCGGCCACACUGGAGGUGAACCGCGGCCCAGGCUCCUACGGGAGGCACCAGUUGCGAAUCUUCCGCAAUGGGGGGAAGCCUGCCCGAGCGGCGCCGCGUGAGUGAUGAAAGUCUUCGGAUCGUAAAACUCUGUUAUUGUUGAAAAACAAAUGUGUAAGUAGCUAUGCACGUCGUGACGGUACCUGAUCAGGAAGCCACGGCUAACUACGUG
Molecule: ribosomal RNA, 497 nt
Filed under: uncultured bacterium
Lineage: Bacteria
Description: partial 16S ribosomal RNA
Rfam family: Bacterial small subunit ribosomal RNA
Source: RNAcentral